Molecule: transfer RNA, 72 nt
Filed under: Loxodonta africana (African savanna elephant)
Lineage: Eukaryota; Metazoa; Chordata; Mammalia; Proboscidea; Elephantidae
Rfam family: tRNA
About the family: Transfer RNA (tRNA) molecules are approximately 80 nucleotides in length.
Source: Rfam by way of RNAcentral
CUCUGGGUGGUACAAAUUGUUAGUACACUUGGCUGCUAAUCAAAAGGCUGGAGGUUCAAGUCUACCCAGAGG